GGGUGUUUAGCUCAGCUGGGAGAGCACCUCCCUUACAAGGAGGGGGUCGGCGGUUCGAUCCCGUCAUCACCCACCA
RNAcentral lists this transfer RNA (76 nucleotides) under Klebsiella aerogenes. RNAcentral describes it as "tRNA-Val". It matches the Rfam family "tRNA". Rfam says of the family: Transfer RNA (tRNA) molecules are approximately 80 nucleotides in length. Their secondary structure includes four short double-helical elements and three loops (D, anti-codon, and T loops). Lineage: Bacteria; Pseudomonadati; Pseudomonadota; Gammaproteobacteria; Enterobacterales; Enterobacteriaceae. RNAcentral also lists the same sequence under 3 other names. The record is from RNAcentral.